Molecule: long non-coding RNA, 235 nt
Organism: Neopelma chrysocephalum (saffron-crested tyrant-manakin)
Lineage: Eukaryota; Metazoa; Chordata; Aves; Passeriformes; Pipridae
Exons: 2
Source: RefSeq, a predicted model, not a curated record
CGACGGCACAGGGAUGGUUGGGAGUCCUGACAGGGGUUUCUGUGAGGCAAAGCUCGUAGGAUGGCCCGCAUUUCGCUCAAGUGGGUACCUGCAGUGCCAGACUGAAAUCCUGAGCAGACCACCAUCGACUUUGGAUUGGCUCUGUACGUUUCCCUCCUUCAUAGGACACCAGUGCCUGAACCACAUAACCCUGGGAGCCAUACUCGAUCACAGAAAUAAAUUGUGAAUCACUAAA